RNAcentral lists this ribosomal RNA (254 nucleotides) under uncultured bacterium. Its description in RNAcentral is "partial 16S ribosomal RNA". It matches the Rfam family "Bacterial small subunit ribosomal RNA", at positions 524 to 777 of the family's 1533-position model. The record is from RNAcentral.
UACAGGGGUGCAAAGCGUUGCUCGGAAUCAUUGGGCGUAAAGCGCACGUAGGCGGUUCGUUAUGUCGGAUGUGAAAGCCCUUGGCUUAACCGAGGAAGUGCAUUCGAAACUGCAGAGCUGGAGUCCUGGAGAGGAAGGCGGAAUUCUCGGUGUAGAGGUGAAAUUCGUAGAUAUCGAGAGGAACACCGGUGGCGAAGGCGGCCUUCUGGACAGUGACUGACGCUCAGAGACGAAAGCAUGGGGAGCGAAGUGGG